GCAAAGGUGGCUGAGUUGGUCUAAGGCGCACGACUGGAAAUCGUGUGUUCGGCUAAUAACCGACCGAGAGUUCGAAUCUCUCCCUUUGCGCCA
This 93-nucleotide transfer RNA is filed under the name Oscillospiraceae bacterium. Its description in RNAcentral is "tRNA-Ser". It matches the Rfam family "tRNA". Rfam says of the family: Transfer RNA (tRNA) molecules are approximately 80 nucleotides in length. Their secondary structure includes four short double-helical elements and three loops (D, anti-codon, and T loops). The record is from RNAcentral. Lineage: Bacteria; Bacillati; Bacillota; Clostridia; Eubacteriales; Oscillospiraceae.